Rhinichthys klamathensis goyatoka is the source of this 645-nucleotide non-coding RNA. The record is from the annotation of a RefSeq genome assembly. NCBI's taxonomy places the organism in Eukaryota, Metazoa, Chordata, Actinopteri, Cypriniformes, Leuciscidae.
ACACACUCUUCAUCAUCACACAAGACUAAACUACAACUAUGAACAACAUCAUCAUCUUCAUCUGGACCAUUGCACUGUUUAUUCAAGAAUCCAGAGGAGUGACUCUGACUCAACCUGAAGUUAAAACUGUCCACCAGAGUCAAACAGCAACAAUAGAGUGUCAUAUGGAUGUAGGACUAACCAGUAAUGACUUAUUCUGGUAUCAGCAGAAACCUGGAGAAGCUCCUAAACUCCUGAUUUAUUACAUAAGAAGCCUUUAUACUGGAACUCCAUCUAGAUUCAGUGGCAGUGGAUCUAACUAUGGCAGUGAUUUUACUCUGACCAUCAGUGGAGUCCAGACUGAAGAUACAGGAGAUUAUUACUGUCUGAGUAGGCACACCAUCAACAGUCAGUAUGUGUUCACACAGUGAUAAAGAGUCGUACAAAAACCUCUGUCAGUCAGACGUCACAGUGACUGCACUGAUACAGCUGAGAGAAACGGCAGCUGCUGAUGGAGGAUCACAAACUACAGAAUAUCAAUGUUUAGCAAACUUUAUAAAGACUUUUAUGUGAUAUGAAAUAAGAGUUAGUGCUGGUAUUGAUUAUGGCAGCACUGGGAUGUUUUAUUGUUGGUGUUUCAGAUCACAGUAUGAGAGCGAUGUGGAG